UACGUAGGGGGCAAGCGUUGUCCGGAUUUAUUGGGCGUAAAGAGCGUGUAGGCGGCUAGAUAGGUCCGUUGUGAAAACUCGAGGCUCAACCUCGAGACGUCGAUGGAAACCAUCUGGCUAGAGUCCGGAAGAGGAGAGUGGAAUUCCUGGUGUAGCGGUGAAAUGCGCAGAUAUCAGGAAGAACACCCGUGGCGAAGGCGGUUGCCUGGAGCUUUGCUGACGCUGAGGCGCGAAAGCGUGGGGAGCGAUCAGG
This 253-nucleotide ribosomal RNA is filed under the name uncultured bacterium. RNAcentral's name for it is "partial 16S ribosomal RNA". It matches the Rfam family "Bacterial small subunit ribosomal RNA", at positions 524 to 776 of the family's 1533-position model. The record is from RNAcentral.